This 91-nucleotide transfer RNA is filed under the name Coprinellus micaceus. It matches the Rfam family "tRNA". Rfam says of the family: Transfer RNA (tRNA) molecules are approximately 80 nucleotides in length. Their secondary structure includes four short double-helical elements and three loops (D, anti-codon, and T loops). Further hydrogen bonds mediate the characteristic L-shaped molecular structure. tRNAs have two regions of fundamental functional importance: the anti-codon, which is responsible for specific mRNA codon recognition, and the 3' end, to which the tRNAs corresponding amino acid is attached (by aminoacyl-tRNA synthetases). tRNAs cope with the degeneracy of the genetic code in two manners: having more than one tRNA (with a specific anti-codon) for a particular amino acid; and 'wobble' base-pairing, i.e. permitting non-standard base-pairing at the 3rd anti-codon position. Lineage: Eukaryota; Fungi; Basidiomycota; Agaricomycetes; Agaricales; Psathyrellaceae. The record is from Rfam by way of RNAcentral.
GGCAACAUGGCCGAGUGGUCUAAGGCGCUGGAAUUAGGCUUUAAGUUCUAUCCAGUCCUCCGGGGCGAGGGUUCGAACCCCUCUGUUGUCA